Molecule: ribosomal RNA, 429 nt
Filed under: Bacteroidota bacterium
Lineage: Bacteria; Pseudomonadati; Bacteroidota
Description: Bacteroidetes bacterium partial 16S ribosomal RNA
Rfam family: Bacterial small subunit ribosomal RNA
Source: RNAcentral
UAGGGAAUCUUCCGCAAUGGACGCAAGUCUGACGGAGCAACGCCGCGUGAGUGAAGAAGGAUUUCGGUUCGUAAAACUCUGUUGUUAGAGAAGAACAGCGCAUAGAGUAACUGUUAUGCGUGUGACGGUAUCUAACCAGAAAGCCACGGCUAACUACGUGCCAGCAGCCGCGGUAAUACGUAGGUGGCAAGCGUUGUCCGGAUUGAUUGGGCGUAAAGCGAGCGCAGGCGGUCAAUUAAGUCUGAUGUGAAAGCCCCCGGCUCAACCGGGGAGGGUCAUUGGAAACUGGUUGACUUGAGUGCAGAAGAGGAGAGUGGAAUUCCAUGUGUAGCGGUGAAAUGCGUAGAUAUAUGGAGGAACACCAGUGGCGAAGGCGACUCUCUGGUCUGUAACUGACGCUGAGGUUCGAAAGCGUGGGUAGCAAACAGG